AGUGAACGCUGGCGGUAGGCCUAACACAUGCGAGUCGAACGGCAGCACAGUAAGAGCUUGCUCUUACGGGUGGCGAGUGGCGGACGGGUGAGGAAUACAUCGGAAUCUACUUUUUCGUGGGGGAUAACGUAGGGAAACUUAUGCUAAUACCGCAUACGACCUACGGGUGAAAGCAGGGGAUCUUCGGACCUUGCGCGAUUGAAUGAGCCGAUGUCGGAUUAGCUAGUUGGCGGGGUAAAGGCCCACCAAGGCGACGAUCCGUAGCUGGUCUGAGAGGAUGAUCAGCCACACUGGAACUGAGACACGGUCCAGACUCCUACGGGAGGCAGCAGUGGGGAAUAUUGGACAAUGGGCGCAAGCCUGAUCCAGCCAUACCGCGUGGGUGAAGAAGGCCUUCGGGUUGUAAAGCCCUUUUGUUGGGAAAGAAAAGCAGCAGGUUAAUACCCCGCUGUUCUGACGGUACCCAAAGAAUAAGCACCGGCUAACUUCGUG
RNAcentral lists this ribosomal RNA (492 nucleotides) under uncultured bacterium. RNAcentral describes it as "partial 16S ribosomal RNA". It matches the Rfam family "Bacterial small subunit ribosomal RNA", at positions 29 to 507 of the family's 1533-position model. The record is from RNAcentral.